This 313-nucleotide unclassified non-coding RNA is filed under the name uncultured fungus. Its description in RNAcentral is "partial contains 18S rRNA, ITS1, 5.8S rRNA, ITS2 and 28S rRNA". Lineage: Eukaryota; Fungi. The record is from RNAcentral.
AAGGAUCAUUACAAAUCCAACGUCUCUUUACCGAGACCUCGUUGAACUGUUCCGCUUGGAUAGGAGCGCUUGAUGUCUUCACCGUCAUCAUUCGUCUAUCCUUGCACUCUCCUUUAACUAGUGUGACUGUUGCUCAUUUGUAUGUCUCUUGAACAAAAAACAAGAAACAACUUAUAACAAUGGAUCUCUAGGCUCUUGCAUCGAUGAAGAACGCAGCGUAGCCAUGCAUCGAUGUGGAAGUAAAAGUCGUAACAAGGCAUCGAUGAAGAACGCAGCGCAGCCACAUCGAUGUGGAAGUAAAAGUCGUAACAAG